AAGGCGUGGAGAGACGUCAGCCCUGGAUUCCAGGUGAACCAUUCAGGGCUCAGGCUGACACAGAGCACUCACCACGGAGCUGGGUCUGAGCUGGGUUCUCCUUGUUUUUCUGAUGAAAGGUGUGCAGUGUGAGGUGCAGCUGGUGGAGUCUGGGGGAGGCUUGGUGCAGCCUGGGGGGUCCCUGAGACUCUCCUGUGCAGCCUCUGGAUUUGGCUUCAGUAGUUACUACAUGAACUGGCUCUGCCAGGCUCCAGGGAAGAGGCCUGAGUGGCUCUCAUACAUCAAUAGUGAUAGUAGUUACAUAAAGUAUGCAGAAUGCGUGAAGGGCCGCUUCACCACCUCCAGAGACAACAGCAAGAACACACUUUACCUGCAGAUGAACAGCCUGAGAGUGGAGGACACGGCCAUCUAUUACUGUGCCACAGAGCCCAGUCGUGGGCACCAGUGA
Molecule: non-coding RNA, 448 nt
Organism: Dipodomys ordii (Ord's kangaroo rat)
Lineage: Eukaryota; Metazoa; Chordata; Mammalia; Rodentia; Heteromyidae
Source: the annotation of a RefSeq genome assembly